CAGUGGUCAACGCGAAGAAAGACGAUAAUUCCCUGUUUUCCAAUGUGGGUACUGUGGAGAGGGUUGAAGGAAUCCCAAAGAUUUUUGGGCAGGAUUUGAAUCAUGGUCAUGGACAUGGUUUUAGGGAGAAACUUGCUGUUCGAAAGAUGGAAGAGAGACCAUCAUGGGAUGUUUAUCAAAAUGGGAAUCGGCUUGCAUUUUCAGGUAAUCGAAAUGGCCUGCAUGGUUCAAGUUGGGCACACAGUUUUGGUUUGAAACAAGGGAGUCCGACAGAGGUUUAUGGCUCACAAACCACAACAAAUAAUCUACAAGAGUUUGUUAAUGGAGUUAGAAAUCAAUUCCAGCCACAAAAGCAGGUGCAAAUGCAAAUUGAUUUUUCUGGGGCAACUUCAGGGCCUUCUGUGAUUGGUCGGCCUGUUAAUGUGGAAUCAGAGCAUUCAGAUGUCGAAGCUUCAUGUAAAGAAGAGCGACCUGGCACGGCCGAUGACAGGAGGCCUCGUAAACGGGGCAG
This 511-nucleotide unclassified non-coding RNA is filed under the name Hevea brasiliensis (rubber tree). The record is from RNAcentral. Lineage: Eukaryota; Viridiplantae; Streptophyta; Magnoliopsida; Malpighiales; Euphorbiaceae.